UACGUAGGGUGCAAGCGUUGUCCGGAAUUAUUGGGCGUAAAGAGCUCGUAGGCGGUCUGUCGCGUCUGCUGUGAAAACUCAGGGCUUAACCCUGAGCUUGCAGUGGGUACGGGCAGACUAGAGUGCGGUAGGGGAGACUGGAAUUCCGUGGUGAUAGCGGUGAAAUGCGCAGAUAGUCAGGAGGGAACACCGGUGGCGAAGGCGGGUCUCUGGGCCGUAACUGACGCCGUG
RNAcentral lists this ribosomal RNA (231 nucleotides) under uncultured bacterium. RNAcentral describes it as "partial 16S ribosomal RNA". It matches the Rfam family "Bacterial small subunit ribosomal RNA", at positions 524 to 750 of the family's 1533-position model. The record is from RNAcentral.